RNAcentral lists this ribosomal RNA (463 nucleotides) under uncultured bacterium. RNAcentral describes it as "partial 16S ribosomal RNA". It matches the Rfam family "Bacterial small subunit ribosomal RNA", at positions 28 to 505 of the family's 1533-position model. The record is from RNAcentral.
GAUGAACGCUGGCGGCGUGCUUAACACAUGCAAGUCGAACGGAAAGGCUCCUGCUUUCAGGGGUACUCGAGUGGCGAACGGGUGAGUAACACGUGGGUGAUCUGCCCUGCACUUCGGGAUAAGCCUGGGAAACUGGGUCUAAUACCGGAUAGGACGAUGGUUUGGAUGCCAUUGUGGAAAGUUUUUCGGUGUGGGAUGAGCUCGGGGCCUAUCAGCUUGUUGGGGGGGUAAUGGCCUACCAAGGCGUCGACGGGUAGCCGGCCGGGGAGGGGGUACGGCCAAAUUGGGAAUGGGAGGCGGCAGAGACUACUCGGGGAGGAAGCGGUGGGGCAUAUUGCACAAUGGGCGCAUGCGUGAUGAAGGGACGCGGGGUGGGGAAUGCGGGCGUUAGGGAAGAAAACGGCUUUCGCAAGAGACGAAGCGCAGGAGGGGGCACCUGGAGAAGAAGCACCGGAUAUAUACG